This 250-nucleotide unclassified non-coding RNA is filed under the name Hevea brasiliensis (rubber tree). The record is from RNAcentral. Lineage: Eukaryota; Viridiplantae; Streptophyta; Magnoliopsida; Malpighiales; Euphorbiaceae.
GCCCAAACAGAAAGUAAAACAACCAAACAGUAGAAAGUUAAAGAAGAUGGCGAGUUGCAACAUCCACAUGCUGUGCUUAUGUUGAAGCACGAAAAGGUUGUGCCCAUAUUUAUGAAUAUAAUCCAGAUAUAUCCUCAGGCACUAACAUACCCAAUUUGGUCAAAAGAUUUUCCAGGAGCAUGGCAUAAUCCAAUUCAUUUCAACAAUUUAACAUCGUUAAUUUCCCAUUUUGACUCGAAAGUUAUUGUUA